Molecule: ribosomal RNA, 706 nt
Filed under: uncultured bacterium
Lineage: Bacteria
Description: bacterial SSU rRNA
Rfam family: Bacterial small subunit ribosomal RNA
Source: RNAcentral
UACAACGGGAUACCCGAGGGAAACUUCGGUUAAUACGGUAUAAGACCACACUACCGCAUGGUAGAGGGGUAAAAGGGGCAACCUGGUAUGAGAUGGACUCGCGUCGCAUUAGCUAGUUGGUGAGGUAACGGCCCACCAAGGCGACGAUGCGUAGCCGACCUGAGAGGGUGAUCGGCCACAUUGGGACUGAGAUACGGCCCAGACUCCUACGGGAGGCAGCAGUGGGGAAUAUUGGGCAAUGGAGGAAACUCUGACCCAGCAAUGCCGCGUGAAUGAAGAAGGUCUUCGGAUUGUAAAGUUCUUUAGUCAGGGAAGAAGUCAAUGACGGUACCUGAAGAAUAAGCUCCGGCUAACUACGUGCCAGCAGCCGCGGUAAUACGUAGGGAGCAAGCGUUGUUCGGAAUGACUGGGCGUAAAGGGUGCGUAGGCGGUUGUACAAGUUAGAAGUGAAAUACCCAGGGCUUAACUCGGGUGCUGCUUCUAAAACUGUAUGACUUGAGUGCAGUAGAGGUUAGUGGAAUUCCUAGUGUAGCGGUGGAAUGCGUAGAUAUUAGGAGGAACACCAGAGGCGAAGGCGGCUAACUGGACUGCAACUGACGCUGAGGCACGAAAGUGUGGGGAGCAAACAGGAUUAGAUACCCUGGUAGUCCACACUGUAAACGAUGGAUACUAGAUGUAGGAGGUAUCGACUCCUUCUGCGUCGCAG